AAUGAACGUUGGCGACGUGGAUUAGGCAUGCAAGUCGUUCGCCCGGCAACGGGCGAGGCGCAAGGGUGAGUAAGGCGACGGCAACCAACCCCGGGGGUGGGCAUAGCCGCGGGAAACUGCGGGUAAUUCCCAGCGACGUCGGGGGGUGGCAUCAUCCACCGACCAAAGGUGCGAUUCCGCCCCGGGACGGGCCGUCGUGGUAUCAGCUUGUUGGCGGGGUAACGGCCCACCAAGGCUAAGACGCCUACCGGGCGUGCGAGCGUGGCCCGGCACACUGGGACUGAGACACUGCCCAGACACCUACGGGAGGCAGCAGUGGGGAAUAUUGGACAAUGGGCGCAAGCCUGAUCCAGCAAUUCCGCGUGGGUGAAGAA
Molecule: ribosomal RNA, 374 nt
Filed under: uncultured Planctomycetaceae bacterium
Lineage: Bacteria; Pseudomonadati; Planctomycetota; Planctomycetia; Planctomycetales; Planctomycetaceae
Description: bacterial SSU rRNA
Rfam family: Bacterial small subunit ribosomal RNA
Source: RNAcentral